AACGCGAAGAACCUUACCUGGGUUUGACAUCUCCUGACAACCGUAGAGAUACGGCUUUCGUAGCAAUACGACAGGAAGACAGGUGCUGCAUGGCUGUCGUCAGCUCGUGUGGUGACAUGUUGGGUUAAGUCCCGCAACGAGCGCAACCCUUGUCCUUAGUUGCCAGCAUUGAGUUGGGCACUCUAAGGAGACUGCCGUGGUGAACACGGAGGAAGGUGGGGAUGACGUCAAGUCCUCAUGGCCUUUAUAUCCAGGGCGACACACGUGAUACAAUGGACGGUACAGAGGGAAGCGAAAGGGAGACCUGGAGCCAAUCUCAAAAAGCCGUUCUCAGUUCGGAUUGGAGUCUGCAAUUCGACUCCAUGAAGUUGGAAUCGCUAGUAAUCGCGGAUCAGCACGCCGCGGUGAAUACGUUCCCGGGCCUUGUACACACCGCUCGUC
This 441-nucleotide ribosomal RNA is filed under the name uncultured bacterium. Its description in RNAcentral is "bacterial SSU rRNA". It matches the Rfam family "Bacterial small subunit ribosomal RNA", at positions 958 to 1398 of the family's 1533-position model. The record is from RNAcentral.